UGGGAGUGAGUGUCCUGACCCAGGGGGAGGGAGCAGAGUGCAGGGCGAGGCAAGGGCCCUCUGCUGACCUUGCGGAUUUCACAGGGAUGAACCUGUGAGGGGGAGCCCGGAAGCCAGCUGGACUUUCAAGGGUGGCUAGGGAGUGGAAGGGGAAUUCUGGUGGCAUCAUCAGCAUACCGGUGCCAGAAUCCAGAAUUGCAGACACAGACUCUCCCCAAAGCCACAGACUCUCCUGGGAAGAAUGACACCGUGGGGCCUCCUGUGAGGAGCAAGGGGCCAUGAGAAGAACAUUAUACUUGGCGGGGUCCCACCUACUUCAUAUGCAUUUAGGGUUGGAGUCCUGAGUCCUGUGUCUCACUGCUUGGAAAUCCCAUGAAAGCGCUGAAGCCUCAUUCCGGGCAGCAGUGGAUGGUGGCUUUGUCACCAGCCAGUAAAGAAUAAGUGAGAGCAGUGAUGGAGGAAGAGGCCUGAGGGUUGCUGCCACCUUCUUGGUGCUGGAAUCCUUUGUGCUUGCAAAGGACCCGUGUGGGUCAGGUCACAGUGUUCCUGUGAAACUCCAACAAAACAAAUGUAACUAAUCUCUGUAGGAAUGGGAAAGUGUUAAAAACUUCGUGGGCUCUCCUGUAUAUUUCAGGCUAGAGGCAACAUUCUUUACUUGUAGCAAAAGCAAUAGAAUACAAACAUGGGAGUAGAAGAGAUCCAAUAUGGAGUCAGAUUUGUUCUUCCCUAUUACAAGAGAACACAGCCUGGGUCCAAGGAGUGAGAGGGGCUCUGGGGAGCAAGGCUCCCUGUCCCUCUUCUCCCACACCUGCACCCAGCAUGGACCUCACCCCGCUUCCUUCACAGUGUGGCGGAGACCCCGUCUCCGUCUGCCCCUGGAUGCAUGACUUGACACCCAUUCCUGGCAUCUGGGCUUGGCUGCUGGUCACUGCCCUGACCACAGAUGUUUCGGUUUCAGCGCAGCCUGGACGGUGGUCAAAUCCUUGGGGGCCUCUGUCUCUGGAAGGAACAAUCCUGCACUUGGAGAACAAGAAGCCCCUAUUCCCAAUUGCACUGUGGGUAGAGUUAAAGUGAAAACGUUAUUCAGCAAAUUUGUACUAAAUACUCCGAAGUACCAAAGAUUUCAUGGAGUUGAUAUGGCUUUUUCACUUUCCCUGGAUCCGCCCAUUUCGUCUUCGCCCUGGCCCUGAGCUGGGCUUCUCCUGCCGUCUCUGUUUUAUAGAAGAGGAGACAGGGGAUCACUCCCUCAAGCUCACACGGCUGAGUGCGGGCAGCCUGGCCGGGAUGGAGCUCUCGAUGAGUCACGGCCCUGCUUCGCUCCCUUCCUUGCUCAGUAGUCCUGGUUCUGACCUGGGAGAGGCAGCAGUGCGUGAUGGUUUGGACCAAGAUCCUAAUUCUCUGCUCAGGAAUGGAACCUGGGCAGCCUGGGUGAAAACCAGGAGUCCUAGCCACUAGACCAGCUACAGGCUAAAGCAGAACGGCCCUGAUUCUACCCCCUGUUGAAAAAGCAAGAAUGUUUCAAGGAGGCAAAGGCUGUAAAAAGGGUACAAAGUCUAUUGUUAGAGUCACAGUGCAACAUACGGAUGAGCACAGGGGAGUGGUUUAUUUACUGAGAUCAGAAGCAGAGCAGUAAUCCACACCGGAAGGAGGAGGAGGGCAGGUGUCCUAGUCGCCCUGAGAGCGGAGCGCACCAGGGAGCUGAGCUAAAUCGCUUACAUGGCGCGGGUCUUCCGGGUCUUUGUUUUCUUUGGCCAAUCAUCUUGUUUUACUUUCCUGGGGAGGGUCCAUGCUUACCCAGGGCCCUCCCCGGAAGGCGUAAGCAUCUUUUGCCAAAAAUGGAUUCCAGAGCAAAGGGUUCUGGGAUGGUAUCAGGACUUCUUAUGGCCUGGCACCCCCUCCCUUUUGACCCCUAGGUGCCUUACUGCGCAUGCGUGGCUGGGGAGCUCUCCUUGACCCCAGGAGUGGUUGAAGUGGUCGUCUUAUCUUUCUGCUCCAGCAGAGCCCAGCUCCUGCCCUUCACUUUCUCCUUGAUGUGUCAGAGGGAAGCCUGGCCCAUUGACUCAGCCUGAUGGUCCCAGCUCUUGUUAGGCCAGGGCCCCAUCUACCUCCUACCUCCGUUCUUUUCUGUGGCUGUGUGGACACAGUGCUGAGCCUCUGUGGCCAGUUUCCCUGCUUGUGAGGCCUGCCCGUGGCCCCAGUGCUCACAUUCCCUGAUUCACUGCCCUUCACCGAGGCCUCCCACAGGUGCAGGCCAGCCCCAGGCCCCUGGGGACUCCUCGAGAAGUGUGCGGUGGCCUCUGGCCGCCUCAGGGAACUUAUAAUACAUUUGGGGAUCCCACCGAUGAUACAGGAUGGUGAAUAAUUAAUUUUCCAAAGUGUGACUCAGCCCCGAGUGUAAGUAAGCGCUCUGGGAAGGCAGUCCUGCCAAGUGGAAAAACGGAUCAUCAUAAAGGAAGAGCAAGUCCCCCCGAACAGUCGCUGAAAAUGCCCUCUCCGUCAGGCAGGGUCAGACACACUUGUCUGGCAGACCAGUCAUUGCCAUCUGGCGCCCCGUCGGCCCAACCUGCCCCACCCCCAGCUGGGAGUCCGGGGCAGCUGGUGGACGUGCCUCAUUCAACGAAAGCACAAACACUUAGAGGGUGUGGGUGAAUAUACUCCCUUAUGUUGAAAUAUUUUCGCCAUGGGGCCAUGGGUGGCACAAAGAGGAUGUAUGCAGAGAAAUAGAGGGCUGGUUGGGAUUGUGCAAAGUCACCAAACGAACCUGGUGACAGAGAUGCCACACACUGCGGCUGGUUUCUGCAGCCGUAAAGAACGAGUCGUGAGAAACACAGUCUGACUGGGUGGGGGCUGUGACACCAGGAAGAGAAACAGCGGAGACAGUCUUUGAAAACAUUGAGCUCAGGUUGGCCAAGUGAGCUGAAGAAGGAGUCUCAGGUCCGUUUUGACACAUUAUUGCAGCGUUUCAGAGCCUGUGGGCGGAGGCACCUGGCCCAGGAUUCUUGCUCUGCCACCGUGCCUCUUCCUCUGCUGGUUUUCCUGGGGUUCUGGGCCAGUUCUGCUGCUCAUUCCACCACUGCAAGGACAAGGCCAUCCGUUUCCAGGGCUCCAGCUGAACAACAGUGGGAUGGGCACAGCCUUAGAGGUCCAGCUGAGAGCUGCCCAUAGGCUCUGGACUCACGUUUGUGGCUCUUUUCUGGGUCUCCGUUCUGAGUCCCACAGCUGCCUCUUCUCCACUAAACUCUUCCCAAAUUUGCUUCUCCCCACUUGUAACUCACGCUCCCUCACCAUCCUCCACGUGCAAAUUGUCACCGGUUCCGUCCUCUGUGACCCUCUUCAUGCCACACGUGGACCUCAGUUCAGGCCCACCUGGCAUCUCCUUCCCCGGUAGCCCCCACACGGGUUUCCCCCUCCCCAUUUUGCUCGCCUUUAGUCCACCUUCCACACGGCCGCCGAAGCGCUUCCACAGCACAAAUAGGAAGUGUAGCUUCCCCACUUACAGCCCCUCAAAGCCUGCCAGUUGCUUUGGGGCUUUAGCCUAAACCCAGUUACUAUAAAGCGCCCUCCCGAGUGGGGCCCGGGGUCCUGCCCCCGUGGUCUGCCAGGACGGGAUGGAAUGCGUGCGGCUGGUAAAUGAAAAUAAACAUCUCUCCCAACCCCCUGCUCUGCUAUACUCCUAACUCCAGGACAUCUCGGCAGAGUCCACCAUGCUCUUUCUAAUGAAGGUACCUCAGAACCUACUUAUACAGUGAUGAGAAAAUGCCAAAGAGCCCAGGACAACCACAGCAGAAAACCAGGAUCACCAGGGAAGAAAGCGGAGCCCUUCCUGCCCUCCCUGCCCAGAGCCAACCCUCCCCAGCUGGGCCCUCCCCAAGCCUUGCCUAUAACUCUCCUAUGACCUUUCAAAUGAUGUGGCAUCUGUUUGUUUAUUACUUGGCUUAUCUCUUAAUUUAAACUGUCAGCAGCCUGAGUUCAGGGAGGUUACAUCUGUCUGCAUCUGUAUUUUCUGCGCAGUUCCUACCCUCCGGCACCGGGCUGAGGAGGGCCAAUUAUGAAGUCUUCCCGUCGUGGCGCAGUGGUUAAGGAAUCCGACUAGGAACCAUGAGGUUGCGGGUUCGGUCCCUGCCCUUGCUCAGUGGGUUAACGAUCCGGCGUUGCCGUGAGAUGUGGUGUAGGUUGCAGACGUGGCUCGGAUCCCGCAUUGCUGUGGCUCUGGGGGAGGCCAGUGGCUACAGUUCCGAUUGGACCCCUAGCCUGGGAAUCUCCAUAUGCCAUGGGAGCGGCCCAAAGAAAUAGCAACAACAACAACAACA
Molecule: long non-coding RNA, 4310 nt
Filed under: Sus scrofa (pig)
Lineage: Eukaryota; Metazoa; Chordata; Mammalia; Artiodactyla; Suidae
Description: lncRNA (ENSSSCG00025077645.1)
Source: RNAcentral